This 779-nucleotide ribosomal RNA is filed under the name Staphylococcus kloosii. RNAcentral describes it as "partial 23S ribosomal RNA". It matches the Rfam family "Bacterial large subunit ribosomal RNA", at positions 714 to 1495 of the family's 2925-position model. The record is from RNAcentral. Lineage: Bacteria; Bacillati; Bacillota; Bacilli; Caryophanales; Staphylococcaceae.
CCCGAAACCAGGUGAUCUACCCAUGACCAGGUUGAAGUUCAGGUAACACUGAAUGGAGGACCGAACCGACUUACGUUGAAAAGUGAGCGGAUGAGUUGUGGGUAGCGGAGAAAUUCCAAUCGAACCUGGAGAUAGCUGGUUCUCUCCGAAAUAGCUUUAGGGCUAGCCUCAAGUGAUGAUUAUUGGAGGUAGAGCACUGUUUGGACGAGGGGCCCUUCUCGGGUUACCGAAUUCAGACAAACUCCGAAUGCCAAUCAAUUUAACUUGGGAGUCAGAACAUGGGUGAUAAGGUCCGUGUUCGAAAGGGAAACAGCCCAGACCACCAGCUAAGGUCCCAAAAUAUAUGUUAAGUGGAAAAGGAUGUGGCGUUGCCCAGACAACUAGGAUGUUGGCUUAGAAGCAGCCAUCAUUUAAAGAGUGCGUAAUAGCUCACUAGUCGAGUGACACUGCGCCGAAAAUGUACCGGGGCUAAACAUAUUACCGAAGCUGUGGAUUGUCCGUAGGACAAUGGUAGGAGAGCGUUCUAAGGGCGUUGAAGCAUGAUCGCAAGGACAUGUGGAGCGCUUAGAAGUGAGAAUGCCGGUGUGAGUAGCGAAAGACGGGUGAGAAUCCCGUCCACCGAUUGACUAAGGUUUCCAGAGGAAGGCUCGUCCGCUCUGGGUUAGUCGGGACCUAAGCUGAGGCCGAUAGGCGUAGGCGAUGGAUAACAGGUUGAUAUUCCUGUACCACCUAAAUUCGUUUUAAGCGAUGGGGGGACGCAGUAGGAUAGGCGAAGCGUG